Molecule: ribosomal RNA, 253 nt
Filed under: uncultured bacterium
Lineage: Bacteria
Description: partial 16S ribosomal RNA
Rfam family: Bacterial small subunit ribosomal RNA
Source: RNAcentral
UACGUAGGGUGCGAGCGUCGUCCGGAAUCAUUUGGCGUAAAGGGCGCGUAGGCGGCACGGUAAGUCAAAGGUGAAAUCCCUCGGCUCAACUGAGGAACUGCCUUUGAAACUGCCGAGCUUGAGUCCGGGAGGGGGUAGCGGAAUUCCCAGUGUAGCGGUGAAAUGCGUAGAUAUUGGGAGGAACACCAGUGGCGAAGGCGGCUACCUGGACCGGAACUGACGCUGAUGCGCGAAAGCGUGGGGAGCAAACAGG